RNAcentral lists this unclassified non-coding RNA (240 nucleotides) under soil metagenome. RNAcentral describes it as "partial contains 5.8S ribosomal RNA, internal transcribed spacer 2, and large subunit ribosomal RNA". The record is from RNAcentral.
AACCUAGCACACCUGCGGUGUGUACCUGCGGAAGGAUCAUUACAGAGUUCGUGCCCUCGCGGGUAGAUCUCCCACCCUUGUGUAUUCUCUACAUCUUGUUGCUUUGGCAGGCCGUUGGUUCGCCAACCACCGGCUCGCGGGCUGGUGCGUGCCUGCCAGAGGACCUCUCAAACUCGGUUUGUCAGUGUCGUCUGAGUACCAUAACAAUCGUUAAAACUUUCAACAAUGGAUCUCAGAUCG